CGUGAUAAGCGCAUGGAACAGGGACAGAUAUCCUGAAGAUCAAACUACAAAAAUACAAGACCAUGCAUGUAUUUGAAUGACAAAAGAGGAAGUUAUUCAUUAACACAAUUCAACCAAAGUAACACGACGCCAAUUAUAGACGUUGAUGAUGCCAAUAUUAAAAAUAUCAAGGCAUUACUACGUGUGUACCGCUCUAGAAAGCGAAAGGUACCAACCCAUCAAACAAAAUAGAGUACGCCGAAGUACCAGUUAAACGCACAAAACAAUGACAUAUACGUGCAGUAUAAGUGUAAUGAGCAACAUAAGGGGUAAAGCCGGUUCGAUACUAUUACAAUGUGGAUGAGAGAAAAAACCUACCAUUAUCAGGCUGCAGGAUAAACGGGGUCCACAGGGAUUUACGCAUGGGCAAGACAGAAUGAAAACACACCGCUAAAAACCAUAUUUUUGCAAAUAUAUAAAGUUAUUGAAAUAAUUUAGCAAAAAUGUUUAGUGCAUGAAAAACAGUUUGUCUUGCAGUUUGUGCCGAUAUCAUAAGAGUUAAGAAUACAUUUAUUGAAUACGUCUGAAAUCGGUGCCAACAUUUCACUUUGCGUGCAGCAUAACCGUGUAUAACUGCCAGUACACGUCUAUUUUUUGGCCAAUAAAUCUUAUUUAAACACAUUGCCAUUAGCCGCAUAAAAACUGUUGUUUUUUUAUGAACUAGUUGUAGUUAUUCAGAAAAAUUGUUUUAUACAAAUAUGUUAAGAGCACCACUUAUCGGUGUGUUUACAUCCAUUUACCCCAUACAGUUACGUGAUCCUUCACCCUGAUUAUUGCGAUUCGGAAUACAUGAAGCGAUUUGGAAUACCCGACAUGAGCUUAGAUAGAGAAUACAUGGUUGGUGCCGAGAUGGAGAAAGUUUUUCCGGUGAGGCUUAGAAAAAGAAAAAAGGGCGAGCUUUAGAAUGUAGUGUUACUUUGUUCGAUUUAAUGAUAUUUCAUUGAAAAAAGGUGCAUAGUGGUUUAUUUAAAUAUAUAUGUAUAUAACACCAUGUAAGAAACUAGCAUCAUGACAUAUACGGAAUGAAAACUGUAAUUAAGUAGAACUAAUAGUAAUGAUAUGUCAGACAUUUCUGUGUAAACUUAAUAUAAUAAAACUACAAACAACA
Dreissena polymorpha is the source of this 1147-nucleotide long non-coding RNA. RefSeq lists it as uncharacterized. The transcript has 2 exons. NCBI's taxonomy places the organism in Eukaryota, Metazoa, Mollusca, Bivalvia, Myida, Dreissenidae. The record is from RefSeq and is a predicted model, not a curated record.